UACGGGGGGGGCAAGCGUUGUUCGGAAUUACUGGGCGUAAAGGGCUCGUAGGCGGCCAACUAAGUCGGCUGUGAAAUCCCCAGGCUUAACCUGGGAAUUGCAUCCGAUACUGGAUGGCUUGAAUCCGGGAGAGGGAUGCGGAAUUCCUGGUGUAGCGGUGAAAUGCGUAGAGAUCAGGAGGAACACCUGCGGUGUAGACGGCUUACUGGACCAUAACUGACGCUGAGGCACGAAAGCGUGGGUAGCAAACAGG
Molecule: ribosomal RNA, 253 nt
Filed under: uncultured bacterium
Lineage: Bacteria
Description: partial 16S ribosomal RNA
Rfam family: Bacterial small subunit ribosomal RNA
Source: RNAcentral